GAGAAAGAGUAAGUGUGUGGUGGUGGUAGCAGGUACAUGAGGUACAUGUACCUGCCUGGCAACCACUUGCAAAUGUACAUGAGGAGGCUGGGAGGGAGGAAGCCAUCUCUGGUGGUAGGCACAGUGUGGGAUGCUAUCCUUGUCAUUUCCUCUCCUCAUCUCCGGGUUGUCAAGUGCUGUGGCUUCUAUGUCUCUGUCGACAUCCCUUGACUCCCCUGUGACUUUGCUCUGCCCCCGGCCACUGUCUUGGAGCAAGCUACCAUCAACUUUCGCCAGGCCAACCACAGCACAGAUAUUUAGAAAACACGGUAUCAGCAGGACUCACUACCCGUGUAGACUCGGCUGCACACCACAGCCCCACAUGCAGCCAGACUGUGCGGCUCCAGUGUGGAAAGCCAGGCCACGCAUACUCUGAGCCUGUGAACUGCCUUCUUCCCUGUUGGCGUGGGACUCAGAAAUCUUGGUGGGUUCUUCUGGACCUUGUGCCACUGACAUCUGCCACUGCCAGCAAGUUGCCCUCUUAGCCUGUUCAAGGUGACACUCAGUUUGCAUGGCUGGGGAUCUGGCCUCUCUAUGCCUGCCCAUCCCCUGCAAAGCUUUAUGUUAGUGGAGCGCCUAAGGCACUGGGCAUCUGUGAGCUGCAGCGAUGGUCCGAGCAUCUGGGGAAGGAAUGCAGGUAGGUGAGCAGACGUCCGGGUCCGGUAUUCUCUCUCCUAGGGAACAACACACACAGAGGCUGGGCUGCCAGGGGUCUGAGGCAGAGAUCUCUCCUGCAGACCUGGAGUUCUCAUCUCCUCGAGUCUCCCAUAGACAAGGAGACCCCAUGUUUUGGCCACAGCAAGCUAAGGAUGAAUGACCUCGAUCCCUUAGAACAUCAGUUCCUGUUUUCCUGUCAGCCAGUCUUCAAAGAGCUUGAAGCUCAACAUCCAUCCUCCACUGGGGAGUGGAGCUGAAGGGAAACCAACACUGUUAUGACCUCCCUCUCUCUUUAAAAAAUAGUGUGUGUGUGUGUGUGUGUGUGUGUGUGUGUUUGUGUGUAUGUAAGCACGCAUAGUGAGUGCAGGCACGUGUGUGCCAGGGUGUGUGCACUCAGGUUAGAGACAAUCUGAGGAGCUGGCCCUCAUCUUCCACUGUUUGGAGACAGGGUCUCUUGCCUAUGUUUCAUGGUCCAGGCUGGCUGACCCAGGGGCUCCCAGGUACUUUCCUAGCCCUGCCUCCAUCUCCCCAUAGGAGAACUGGAGUUACACACUACCAUGCCCAGCUUGCAUUAGUUUGGAGAUCUGAACUCUGAUCCUCCUGCUUUUGGGCAAGCACUCUUUACCCCUGAGCUAUUUUCCCUAACUCUAACCUUCCUUUCUUUGUACAAGGUCCACAGCCCCAUCCCCACAGUGACUCAAUGAGACAAUUAGCAAAGCCAGGAGCGUAGAAAAACAGGAUCUACCCGUGGAAAUGAGAUUUCUGAUGUGGAGGCCCCUUAGGGACUCUAAAUUUGGCUCUGUAUUUCCUGGCACAUCCAAGGGCAACAACGAGAACAGAAUGAUCCAGACAGCAUAAAAGGAAAGUAGAUUUUGUAAGCCAUGGAGGAGCAAACACAGGCAGAUCUGUGCAGUGUGGGCACACAAGCUGCCCAGGAAACGGCAUCUGGGAAGGUCUGAGUAUCUGUCUGUGGGAAGCCCAGGGACAGCAUGGCUUGCUCUCCAGUGUUGAUGAAGGGCUGCGGAAGACUCUGGACUCUCUCAGGAUCAUGGCCGCUCUCUGAGAAAAGGACGAAAUUUGGUGGUGCGGUUAAAAGUUCAGAGGAUUGCUCAGUGCUUAAAGGCACUCGCUGCUGCUGCUGAGGACCCAGGUUCAGCACCCGCAGAUACAUACAGCCUCCACCAUCUGACCCAGGAGGAGGCCGGAGCAGCAGCAGAGACCCUCUUUGUUCCUGCAGGGCUCGUCAUUGCUGGGGCUGGGACCUGCUCCCCCGGCCUUUUUAGGUGCACACUCGUCUCCCUCCACACUGUUGUUCUCAGACAUGAGAAGAUGGGGCUGCACUUGUGGGUCAUGCUUCCGGACUUUCUGUUCUCAGAGAAGGCUUAGGAAGCCAAAAGUAAACACUCCUCGGGGCAUGAUAAACCAUUUUGUUUGCUUUGUCCUAUUUGUUUAUGCCAACACGGAAUAGAAAAAUGUAUGUUGGUCAGAAAACAGUAUUUCCUGAUAUUGAUUUUUGCAGAUACCAAGAUACAGAGGGGGAAGUCUGUGAAGUUCCAACAGGUCCCGAAAGUCUCCCCAGAUCCUCUACAUGAAAACAGUCUCUAAAGACAAAACAAAACAAAACCCCACGGUCAAUAACAACAUGAUUAUGACUGCACAACACAAAUGCUCAGUUCAAUAGCCCAAUUAAGGCAGCACGGAAGAAAGGCCUUUGCGUUGCACAGCCCUGGGGGCAUGUGCUGACCUGUGCCACAGACAGGCAGAGAGGCGUGAAUGAAGAACAUGGCCCCAUUUGUCAGCAGGAACAUGAGUCAGGAACUGGGGCCAGUUCCUUAGGAAAAAAAACUUUUUUUUUGGUUCUUUUUUUUCGGAGCUGGGGACCGAACCCAGGGCCUUGCUCUUCCUAGGCAAACGCUCUACCACUGAGCUAAAUCCCCAACCCCAGGCCAGUUCCUUAAACGUGGCGAUGAGCAGAAGUCAAUUCAGUGUAACUGGCCAAGUAUGGUCUGUGAGAGCGCAUGAGGGAUGGGGGUCUCCAUGCGGACCGGCCUGUGCCCCUGCUCCUGACACCUGUGUGCGAGGCCUUAGAUGGGUGCGAGAGUUGGGUGAGGUGGCUUCUCCAUGGGAUUUGACUGUGGAGCUUUGGGAACCCAAUCAAUGGCAGUGAGACAGGCUCCAGAUUCUUUCCCUGAAUGAAGCCUUUAGUGCUGUUUCAGUCUGACUAGGAAAACUAGAGAUAAGGUUGUGUAUCAGAAGGCACAUUCUGAUGACAGAGGAAAACAGACAGGAAAAACUUAAUGGAGAGAACCAAGAACUAUUGGGACUUAGAAGAGAAAAGGUUAUGGGCUCUGGAAUGCCCAGGAGAAGCACGCAGCCUAUGUAGGGGCGAUUGAGGAGAUAACAUGGCAUGUAGGGAGAAGAGGGAGACUAGGUUGAUUAGCUUCUGUCAGGGACAAAUGUCUGGAUCUUCUCCCAGAAUAUCUCAGUCUGCAGCAGAGUGGCCUUUACUUACUGUUUACUAUAAAAAUAAUUUCCUUCUAGAGCCUGCCUUGCUGCUAGUGCAAGCUAGCUUGUGGAUAGGCCGUAAUCACAUCUGGGAUGGUCUAGGUGCAACCCCAUCCUCAUUUGUGUCAGGCUCCUUGGGUCAGCCAGCCUAGCCUACUUGGUGACACUUCUGCUACAUUCCCUGGUGACAGGGCUGCCAGCCUGGGUAAGGAGCACGAAGCCAUCAUGUAUGGCUGGGCAGUCUGUUUCACUGCAGGGGCGCCCAGCAGGAGAAGGAGAGCUUGGGUCUCUCAACAAGGUACCCGGAUUUGUUUCAUGCACCUAAGGAAGGGGCAGCUUUUGUAUCCUUGCAAGGACAUAUAAGGGCUGGAAAUAGUUCUGGAAGGAAGGAGUCAGGUUGCUACGAUUUCCAAGGGCAGUCUGAGAGAGUGAGGCACAUCUUUUAAUCGAGACUCCCGGUUUCUGUGACUUGGGCAAAGUCAAUGAGACAUGUUAUCAGUGACACUGGGCGUCAGCUGCCUCUGUAGUCAGACAGGAAGGAUGGGAACUCAUGAGACAUGAGUUGUGGGAGUUAGAGUCAGCUGGCCCACAACCAAGCAUCCAUUCCAAAUCUGUUCACUAUCUAUCGUGAGCAAGAACUCAGCUUGGUUCUACGAACAACAUUAAAUAUCCAUGUAAAUUUACACUACAUAUACCUGACUUCACCAAUGGGAUUCUGUAAGGAGGACUCAGAAGAGUCCAAUGUGGGCAAGGGUGUGAAAGCAGAGAGCUGGAGGGCAUAUUACACUAGCCUGGAAUGACGCAGGGAGGGCCUUCCAGGAGGAAAUAAAAGAAGAGACCAGCUAUAAAGAUGUGUAUGUGUGUGUGUGCAUGAGUGUGUGCAUGUGUGUGUGCACGUGCGUGUUUUAGAAAAAGUCAGUAUGGGCUGGAGAGAUGGCUCAGUCUUUGUACUUUCAAGCACGAGGGUCUGAGUUCAGUCCGUGGAACCCACAUAAAAAUGCUGGGUGUGGCAGCAGGCACCUGUAAUCACAGAACUAGGGAGGCAAAGAGAAAUGGAUCCCCGGGGCUUGCUGGUCAGCCAGUCUAGCCUACUUGGUGAGUUGCAAUACCCUGUCAUAAAGGAUGUGUCUGGGCUUCCUGAGGAUGGCAUCUACAGCUUGUCCUCUGGUCUCCACAUGUGUGCCCAUGCACCUGUACACACACGAUUGUGUAAACCCACACCUGCCUUAAGAUUUUUAAAAAAGCUUUGAUUGCAGGCAAUUAGCUUAGGGAAGGAACAAAGUGAGCCUAGAAGUGUGGGGUUUGCCGUGAGGGCAUUGCACUCACUGGAGGGCCAACGAGUGUCCAUCGAUCAGAUGCGCUAGACUGAAUAGACAGACAAGUGCAAGACAGGACGAAGCCCCUGGGGAAGAGAAGGUGCCACAGUGGUCCUGACAAGAGAUGAAGCCUGGCAGGAGGGGAAGGGUUAAACCAGGUGUCUAUUAAGGAAACCUGGAAGUGAGUGAGGAAGCUUCAAAGUUCCCAUAGGACCGAGAUAGCGUCCAGGGUGGGAAUCUAAGGCCAUGGUCCUCUAUCUCUGUUACGUGAUCCCCUAGCAGGGCCUUCUCUAUCUUUGAUUGGGCGAUUCGUAAGAACAGUGAGACACUAUUUGCUAUAGUGACUCUGGAUCUACUCCGGCCUGACGGACUCGGGUGAGUAGAGAAGAAGAGUCAUGUUCCUUAGCUGACAGAAAAGAAACUAGGGAUGAGGAGAGCGCUGUGGAUGAGGAGAGCGCUGUGGGAGCAAGUUUCCAGACAACACAGGAAAGACACUUUCCAUCUUCUUCAUCUCCAAGAUUUGCUGUGCUGGGCUGCGCUUCUCUCUCUCUCUCUCUCUCUCUCUCUCUCUCUCUCUCUCUCUCUCUCUCUCCCUCUCUCUCUCUCUCCCUCAGCCUCUGAGGUAUCUACGGUCUCCCUUUGGAACUGUUACAGUUUGCGGGGCACAUGCUCCUUGGCAUUAUAUCACAGUGGGUAUAGGCUCUGGCACCUGUAAGUGCCCUGCUCCCCUUCUCUAAGUGAUGUCGAGCGUGCCGCCGUUCCAGGCCAGCAGUGGGGAGGGAGAGCUGAAACCGAUGUGCUCUGUAGUUUCCAUUAUGUAAAAAUCCCACUCAGUGCUCAGAAUGAGAAGGGAAAAGCUGGCUGCACCGACUGCCACACGGCAUCCCAGCUGGAGGCACCACAGGCUGUCCUGAGAAGGGUUCUGUCACUGGGUGCUCACGGUUUUUAAGCCUCAGUGGUGAUCAUUCAGAGUUGGAUGGACCAUUUACUUUCUCACAGUUUUGUCUCUAAGAGAAAGUAUCUGGUUGCUGCCCAGAGCGGCUCCCUCAUUUAUUUACCUGGGUCCCUCCAAGGCUAGGACACACUCUGUACAUGGUAGGUGCUCAGUAGAUGCUGGCAGAGUGAAGAAGUCUUUGGCGUGCCAUGUGAAUAGCUUGACAACUGUGAUCUAAACUCACUUACUUCUUUUUGUCCAAUGGUUUGCAGAAAACUGCAAAAUUCAUCUUGAAUCGAAAGGAACUUGGCUUUUUCUGUUCCUUCGGAAUCCUUGAGGUAAGUCAUGCUUUCCUGAAAAUACUUCUCGGCCACAUCUGAGAAAAGCAUAGAACAACAAUUUUGAAAACAGCUGAAAGACCCAAGCAGAGAUGGAGCAAAGAUGUUGUUAGUGACAGUGAAACAUUUAAAACACGAGCAUUUGGAGAAGAGACGUCAGUCCAAGGGACUCUCUGGGGCCCACUAUCCUGCCUGUGCUGGCAGAGAUUAUUUAAGUCUCAGAAGGAGACUGCAACCUGCUUUCCUUAUUUUUAGUGUUCUUUGUGACAUACAAAGCAAAAUUAAUGGGGUGAGAAAGGAGAAACUGUCCCCAGACCUGAGCACAUUAGGACACAUUAGGGUAUUGUCAUGUUGAGUGAGAGUGCAUUAUCUCUGCUUAGACAUCAGUCACUCUUCACAGCUCACGCAGUUUUAUGGACUCUAACUGUAAUCUUGUUAUAUAUUUCUACAACACACAUAUACAUACACACACACAAACACAUAUAUACACACACACAAACACACAUACACACAUACACAUAAACACAUACACACAUAUACACACACAUACACACAUAUACACACACAUACACACACAAACACACACAUGGACACACAUGGACACACACACACACACACACACACACACACACACACACCAAUAAACAAAACAGAACCAAAAGAAAAAAAAGACAAAAAAAAAAGUCUGGUUGAUAAACUACUGAAGAACCCCAACCAUUCUAAACCCUUAAACACACAAAUUAAUAAAACAAAAAGUUUCAAGUAAAUGACAACCAUAAAAGCAGGACAGGGAAGAGCCCAGGCAUGGAAAAUGAAAAUGAAAUUAAAAACCAGAACUGUGACUAUAGACAGCCCUCUUGUUAUACCAAAUGCCUGAGCUAAUCUAAUGCAACUUAAAGUGAGGAAGGCCAUGUUUUGCUCAUGUUGUCGGAGGUGUCGGUCUAUGACUCAGUGACUGUUGCCUCUGCUCUGCCGAGGCUAAGAGAACCUGUAAUAUCAUGUCAUGGUAACUAGAAGUGGGGAGAAUCAGGAAGGACCGGGGUUCCCGACGUCACCGCUGAGAGGUUCUGAGGCUGGUCAAUAGUAGUAGCACAGGCUGUGGGCCAAGCCUUUAGUAUAAGGGCCUCAGGAGGGCCACAGCCAGACUGUGGCAAACAAGGGAAAGUGGCUGAGCACUCCACAGACCUAUUAGAAACAGUGUAUCCACUCAGCACCCGGGUUUCCCAGGCUGAUCAGGACUGGGGAUGGGGCCUGAGGCUGGUUUGUGGUAGGAAGCUGAGUGAAGCUGCUGGUAAGAGGCCAGCAUGGUGCUUCAAAGGCGACUUCACUGCUACUCAUCCCUGUGGCUCUGGGCCAGAGUCCUGAGUGUGCUGUGAGAUCACAGGUCUCUGCUGGCUUUUAGAAAGUGACAUCUCUUGGGCACCACUGAAUCACAUGGGCUUUUGUUAUUAAUUUGUUUUUUGAGACAGCCCUGGCUGUCCUUGAACUCACAGAGAUCAACCUGCCUCUGCACUCUAGAGUGCUGGCACCACUAUGCCAGACACCUAGGGUUUUUCUGACCAUAGAGAAUCUUCUCCAGCUGGUGACAGAAAAAGGAGUCAGAGACCCUGGGAGCUGCUGUGGUUUGGGUCUAGAUUGCCUCCCAGUGGCUCACAUGCUAAAGGCUUGGUUUCCAGACUGUGAAACUAUUAGAAGGUAGUGAGACAUUUAAGAGAGAAUCUAACUGAAGGAAAUCAUGCUACUGAGGGUGUGCACCUGGCUCCCUUCUUUUCUCUCUCCUUUCUUUCUGGCUGCUAGGAGGUAAGUGGCUUUCUCUGCUAUGUGCUUCUGCCACUGGCAUUCAGCCUCCCCAUAGGCCUAAAGCAACACAAAUGGAGACUUCUGAACCAUGAGCUAUAGAGGGAAUCUCUUGAGCACUGUAUGGAAGCAUCACCUGUCAAUAAAAAGCUAAUGGCCUAUUAGCCGAGGCAGGAAAUAGGAGGCGGGAGUUCAAGUAGGGAGAGAGGAACUCUGGGAUAGAAUCAGGCACAGGAAGAGAUUCUCCCAGAACCCUGAGGAGACAGAUGCAUGAAACUGAAGAGAGGUAACCAGCCAUGUGACACUCAUAGAAUUGACAGAUUAAUUAGUUUACGGACCCAUCGGGGAACAAGCCCAAGCUUAUGGCUUACACAUUUGUAAAUAAUAAGUCUCAGAGUCGUUAUAUUGGGAACUGGAGUGUGGGUGGAUAAGCCCACAGCUACAAUGAAUCAAAUAAACCUUUCCUUCUGUUAAGCUGUCUGUUCUCAGGAAUUUGUCACAGUGGAAGGCUGACUAUCACAGAAGCAUUAGGGGGUGGAGUGACGGAAGGAAGGUCUCCAUUGCCAAUAUGAACAAGGGCCCUAGAGGAGUGAUUGACCAACGAGAAAACAAGGCUGUAGCUGUAGGAAACCAAAAUCUGAUAUCAACGGGAAAGAGAUCAUAAAAAGACCCGAGCUGUGGAUGACAGUAGGGCUGACCGGCUGCUUGACUGCAGCCUCGGCAGAGAAAUCAGCCUUGCUGUGCCAGACACCCGACCUCAGAACCAGGGGCUAAUAAACAGCCCCUUCAAUGCAGUUUUGUGUUUAUGUGUGUGUGUACAUGCACUUGAGUGUGCAUAUUCGGAGGUAUGCACACCCAUGUGUAUACUGAGGGCAGAGGCUGACACUGGGCUAUCCUUCUCCACUUUAUUAUUACCAGAAUAUUGAGACCAGGUCUUGCGCUGCUUGUGGAAACUUUCCUUUUCAGCUAGACUAGCUGGCCGGCGAGCCGGGGAUCCUGCUGGGGUUAUAGUUGGAGGUCCACCACGCCUGGCUCUUACGUGGGUGCUGCAGAUCUAAGCCUGGUUGCUUAUGCUUUCCCAGCACGCACUUCAUCCUCUGCGCUCUCUCUAGCCCCACAACUAUAAUGUGUCUGCAACAAAGGGAAACUACUGUGGGGAAUAUAACCUUUAAGGUCUAUAUUGUUCAGAUACAUAGUUUACAAUAGUUUGGAAUUAAACAAAUUUUAAAGAGCAAACAAAAGAAAAGAAAUACAGCCAGAAUUAUGUUUUAAAUGGUGGGUCCUCCCCCUUAAAUUCAUGCUAAGACUCUAAUCUCCAAGGUGAUAGUCUUUUAGAGGUAACGGUGUCACGGGGAUGGAGCCCUCCUGAAUGAUACGUGUAUGUGUGUGUGUGUGUGUGUGUGUGUGUGUGUGUGUGUGUGAGAGAGAGAGAGAGAGAGAGAGAGAGAGAGAGAGAGAGAGAGAGAAAGAGAGAGAGAGAGACAGACAGGCAGACAGACAGAUAUACAGACAGACCCUGGUCAGCUGCCUUGACCCGCUUCUCUAUGAAGAGCCAGUGUUAAACAGAGCUGGACUAUGCAGGAGGCAGCUACCAUGAGACAUCAAACCUACUGGUACAUUGACCUUGGGCUUCUCAUCUCCAGGACUUUGAAAAAGAAAUUAUUACAUCACCUAAUCUAUGGUGUUCCGUCAUGGCAGCUUGAGCAGAUUAAGGCAGUGGAGUAGCUCUACAACUAGAAAUGAGUGGAGGCCUUAGGGCUGUCCACCUGCAGACACGGGCGCACCACACUUGUGAAAACUGCCACUGAAAUUAGAAGCUUCCACUUAUUACGUAGCACAUUCCUGUCUUCACAGCUGUAGCUAGGGGCUUCUCUCAUGCUGGCCAAGAAACAGAUGCAUCAGAAUUAGCUGGUAGCUUAGAUGGACACUGUUUACAGAAACACAGUGAAAACGGACAGACAGAAUGGCCCAAAGACACAGAAGCCCCAGAUCAUUUGUGGAUAAGCAAUCCUGCACCGUGAGAGAGCUUCGAGAACAUGGCUGGAAUUCUCAGCGCGAGUCCCGGGUGCUGAGGCGUGAUCCAAGCACACGCCUUCCUUCAGGGAGAUCGUUAGGAAGGGAAGAAGUAAACGCAGAGGAAAGUGUCUUCCUAAUGGGCACGGCUGAAGAAAACCCAGGUCUGGGACCAGGUGCUGUUCAUCUGCAAGGUUCCCUCCUGAGGUUCUGGGCAGGAGCAGGGUUCGUGGCACUUUGUCUCUAGGGCAUGCCUCCAGAAGCCGAAUCCAUAUUAACUGAACUGGAUGCCCCUCACCCUCUCCCAGACCUACGCACUCCUACGAUAUGGAAGAAAGUCCUUUCAUAUGGAAACUGCUAUCUAUAUAUCUUUACUCAUUGCUGAACUGUCAAUCCAAGUAUCAACUCUGACUUUGAAGGUCUGGUGACAGUGUUGGAGGUAGUGUGGCGUUUAUUUUAUGGAUAAAAGCGUAACACGAACAUCAAAGUCUAAUAUGACUGCGGUGUUCUGGAGCGGGGGGCACUUGAUAUUUUAAUUUUCUAGCUAACUGUGAACCAAUAAAAGAGUGUGCCGUGAUCCUGUAAGAGUAAAACAGAACUGGCUGGAUGGGCAGGCCGGUGGUGUGUGACAGUGAUCCCAGCACGCCCUGUCUGUUCCCAGAAGACCUCUAGACAAAGGAAAAUGAACAGUAAGGCUAGGGAGCAGAAUGGCCCUGACAGCAGGUAUCACAGGCAAGCUGACUUGUAUCUACAAUGGCACAUCAGGGUCCUUGCCUCACAGAAUGUCCUGAAUCAUAGAAACGGCAGGAAGAGGGACCUCAGGCAUCAACAGUGACAUUCUCCCUGACUGUAAAUCUAAAGUAAUUUCAUCUUUAUCUGGAAAAAAAAAUCCCUUUUAUCACAGGAUCCUGACUUACUUCCUCACCUCUCCAGGCCCUAAAUGACUGUGAACCAUGGUUGUAUGACAGGUCUUUGUGGAGUUGUAUCUGAAAGAGAUUGUUUUCUGGGGCCGGGAGGGAGAGCUUAGGGCUUGAGGGGGAAGUUUAGGUACCCUAGAUUCAUUUGGAACAAAGGACAAGAGAGUUUACAGAGUUUGGAAGCCAUGGCCGCUGGAUGGGAAGCCACCUCCUGGCAUCUUCCUAUGUUCCGAAGCUGGGUAUGAUUCACAGAGGCAGCAAGCAGCUCAGUGUUCUUGCACGUGGCUGCCCUCAACUUUAAAAAGCACUUCUAGAAUCCUCUGCAACCCGAUUCCGACAGCCUGGGCAAAGAUGAAGUCAUCUCUGAAACAUGGACCGGUGACUCAGCUGGGGAAUCUGAGUCCUGGUGGCGGAGGUAAGCCAGGACCAUAAACCUCUUUCCACUCCUACCGCAGCAGCACAGUGUUUGGGUUGUCUCCGGGCUCCAGCAGCGGGAGGGAGGGAGCUAUACUGUGGACAGGUACUUUAACCGUCUCUGCAGAGGGCUCCAUCAGGGGACUUGGAAGACAGAUAGACUUGCAAAAAGAGCUUCAUACACAGGCAAAGGGAAGCAAAGCCUAUUCAGACAGCCAGAGAAGAGGGCUGCAGAGGAAGGCACUGAAUGUGUGUGUGUGUGUGUGUGUGUGCACAUGUGUGUGCACAUGUGUGUGCACAUGUGUGUGCACAUGUGUGUGCACAUGUGUGUGCACAUGUGUGUGCACAUGUGUGUGCACAUGUGUGUGCACAUGUGUGUGCACAUGUGUAUGCAUGUACGUGUGUGUUUGUGUGUAUACAUGUGUGUGCAUAUGUGUGCACAUGUGUGUACAUGUGUGUAUGUGUGUACACACGUGUGUGCAUGUGUACAUGUGUAUGUGUGCACAUGUGUGUGCACAUGCGUGUGUACGAGUGCGCACCCACAUUUAUGUGUAUGGGGAUAUGUGUGCUGCUGUGCAUCUGUGACAGGGCAACUUGUAAGAGUUGGUUCUGCCCUUCCACCAUUCGGGUCCUUGCGGUCAAACUCAGAUAAUAAGGCUUGGUGGGAAGCACUCUUAUCUUCUGAGCCAUCUCUCUGGCCCAGGUCAGGAAGCUUCCAAGUAAAAUAGAUACUAGUUAACCUAGGGUUCAUUUUCCUGAGGCUGUUCUGAGACAGGAGGAGGGGUGGUAAGGACAGCUUCCUUAUGUGGGAGGGCUCCAUGUACAAUGUGACAAUCUUCUAACAGUGUCAAAGACAAUCUUUACACUAACUGCAGAUGUUUAAGGACUCUAGGAAAUUUAAAAACAGGAAGUCUCUAAUCUAACUUGACCCUCGCUGGGCAAAGACUGAGCUACUGAGACUACAGUGGGUGCUGCUAUCCCAACCACCUGUAAGGUCCCCAGGGGAGGCCUGGGGGCUCAUGCCUUACUUUUUCCACACACCUGAUCCCACGCAGUAGGUGGCUGAGCUGUUAAACGUGCUGUAAAAUCUAAGGGAGUUCAUACAUGUUUCGGGGGGCAGGUAUGUAUCAGAAAGCAUGGUGGCUAUACUGAGCAAGAGGCCAGAAGAAGCUUGCAGGGUAUAAAGGUGCUGAUCAUUCUCACGAGGCCUGACAAGGGGCUCGGACGCCAUGAGAUCUGCUUGCCUCGGCAUCUUCACCCUCUGGAGCUGUCCACACUCCCCACUCCCACCCCUCUGCUGCUUAGAUCCCAUACAGGGUCACACCGGCAAAAGUUAGGCAUCUUGCAACCUUAGACCUCCAAUCCCCUAGGUUAGGGCAGUACAUGUGUUCUCCAGAGAGCUGCCUUAAAAAUCCUUUUCAAAAGCAUCAAGUAUAAAUAGCAUGGCUUUUCUGAGAAGUUCUGGACACAAAUCUUACAUGCUGGCAUCUAAACAGACAGCCCAAGCCUUGAGAAAGUGGCUGUCAGGCUGUGCACUUCAUUCUGCCCAGCAAUGGCACAAAGGACUCUCAGGAAAGGCGGCCACUGGUCAAGUAGGGUUCCUGAGAUCUCUGCUCUACCCUGGGCCAUUCCCGAGGGAGAGGAUCCAGCCACCCAGGACUUGGGUUCUUCCACUGACCCCAAGAGCUACCAAGUGAGCAGCCCCUACUUGCGUUCUGGGUUAACCUGUGCCACUAGGGUUUGAGGUCUGUGGUGUGAGCCACCUUUUGGGAUGGAGGAUAUAGGCAGGAGACAGUUUGUGGUCCCCAUUCUAAGACCUCGUGCUGUUGUAUCUGCUGAACGACCUUGCCCUACAGUUCCCUAGAUGUGAGGAUAACUUCCAGAAGUUUCUGAGAGGGGAUUAUUCUGGUGCUGGCGGAAACAGAAGGAGCAUCCCUUUGCAUCUCAUGGCCUCACCCAUUUCUCCCUUGCUUGCAAGGGGCUCAGAGCAGGCAGGCAAGUGCAGGCUGGUGAGUCCUGAGUAGAGGGGUGAGGAUAAGGAAGGGUCUCUCAGAGCACACGGCACCAGGGCCUGGGAAGGCUGGGGAGGGGAAGGAGAUCGAGAAGAGCAACACGAGGAUGGAGGGACACAGACAGGGUACAGCGGGAUGGGGUAUCUGCCAGCAGACUAUACCUCACCACAGAUCCACUACAGAAGCCUGGAGUGAAGGAGGGGAGAAGGGGGCAGCUGAGGAAGGCCACGGGAAGGUACAGGCUACGGUCAGCGAGUGCUCCCAGCUGCCAUCUUACCCAUGAGGAGACCCCAGGCUCUAACAGUUACAACAGCCUGGAGCUACCUCACUGCUAGCCUGUCAAGACACUCGGGGUCUAAGGGGCAUUAUAACACGGAGCCACUGUGUGGAGGAGGGACGGAUGUACCCAAGGCAAGCAGGGCUAGCAGGGCACAGGGGAAGGGUUGAGAAAAGGGAGGGCUGUGGAAGGUCACGGAGACGUGCCCAGGUAAUUACUUGAGGGAGGGGGGCUUCAUAAACAUUUUUCAUUAUGCCUGUGCAAAACAUAGGAGAGGCUAGGACUAGUGGGAGCUGAGAAAUAGGUGCAUGUGUGCACAAGGAGUUACACACAGGGGAAACCCAGGCUCCGAGAGAGAGGCAGACACCAUUCCCGCUGUUGUCUUGAGACCCACUGGACCUCCUUAGCCUGCUGGUGCCCAGGACAACACGGAGACACUUCCAAACAAGGCUGCCUGCUCUGAGCAGGCCCUGCAGCACAAAGGUUUACAGUGUAAUGUACUUGGCUUUGGUCCAUUUCAUUUUAAUAUCCUUAAGGAGAAGCACUCUAAACACAAGGCCAAGGCCCUGGACACUUAGCAGGGUUGGGAGAGCUGUUAAUACCAAGUUUGUCUAUGGCUGCUCUGGGAAGCUGGCCAGGCCCAGGUUAGUGACAUUCCGCGAGCCUGAAUUGGGAAUCUUGAGGCAAGCACAAGCCUCCCAGACUUCUAGGGCAGUUUUGUCUGUAUGAGGAAUGCAGGACGGCACAGUGCAAAGGCACCGGCUCCAGCCUGGAGCCAGAAACGCUUCAGGGCCAGCAGUGUUGCGUCCUAGCAGACAAUGCCUUCAAUGGACAUCCAGCAAGGGUGCAGGAGCAGACCAGAGACAGAAAUCCUCACAUGGGAACUUAGGCUUUUUAAAGAAUCUAUUGCCUUUUUCUCCCCAAACAAAAAACAAAACCGAAAGUCUAUUAGGUACCCACAGGUUUAAACACAAAAGAGCAAAGGCUGGAUUGCCCCUUGGUACCCUGAAAGACGGGCAGGUUUGCUUCUGGGGGGAAUCUUGGGACUAGAAAUGACUGUAGUCCAGGCCAGAAAGCCCUGGGUGAGAGCAGUGGGUAGGGGUGGGGUGGGGACUGUAUCUUCCAGACUCCCCAGUGGUCCGCUUUCCUUUCCCCUGCAGGGGGCAGUAGAGGCCUGGAUAGGCCUCAAUCCUGGCUGGGUCUCUCACAGACUUGCCAUGGUGACUUCUUCCAUAUAAAGGGCAGUGGAGAGAAGGCAGAUGUGGGGAUGGGCUUGCUUAGUCUCCAGCUCUACUCCCUGCCUGGGCGGUUGUCUCCUGUUUCUGCUUCAGAAGGAAGGUGAAUCCCUGGACUCUAGUCAGGCUGCUUCUGCUCUACACCCCCCACCCCCACAGCACUUGCAGGAGGAAAUACAAAGACAAAGUGUGGAGCAAAGACUGAAGGAAAGGCCAUCCAGAGACUGCCACACAUGGGGAUCCAUCCCAUAUACAGCCACCAAACCCAGACACUAUUGCGGAUGCCAAGAAGUAUAUGUUGACAAGAGCCUGAUACAGCUAUCUCCUGAAAGACUCUGCCAGAACCUAACAAAUACAGAGGCAGAUGCUCACAGCCAACCAUUGGACAGAGAAUAGGGUCUGCAAUAGAGGAGUUAGAGAAAGGACUGAAGGAGUUGAAGGGUUUGCAACCCCAUAAAAAAAUCAUUAUAUAUAUACAUAUAUAUAUACAUAUAUAUGUGUGUGUGUGUGUGUGUGUAUGUAUGUAUGUAUGUAUCACCAUAAUAAAGAUUGAAAAAGCAAACAGAAUAAGAGAAGCUCUGAAUCCCCAAUCCCUGAAAACCAUGAGCCCAGCAACUUCCUUUCAGAAUCUCAAGGCUCCGGGACCAGAGCUGUGCUCACCCUCAUCAUAUUUGCAUCAGUCGCCAUCAGCCAACAACUGAAGAUUUCACAGGCAGAUACUGACAGCAUUAGCUGCCUGUCAUGUGGGACCAUGUUGCUAGAGAAACACAGUGGAUACAAUCUUCUCUAGUUUGGCCACAAAACAAUCACUAGAGUGUGUGUUUCCUGUCACACACAGGAUGCCAGGAUGACCAAGUAGAGAAUCCCCAAAUCUCAUACUCUAACUAUCCUGCCGAGACUAGGAAAUGCAUAUUGAGUGCUGGCCUCUGCUUGAAAUCCUGACACCGAUGUACACGUUCACCGAACGCCUCAAUGGCUCAAUCGUUGCCUUGGAAAGCAGAGAUGUCCCUCUUGGCCGUGCACGAGUCUCCCACGCUUCAUGGUGUUUUGGAUGAAGAGUGACGUUCUGGAGGGGAAAGGGCUGGAGUGCAGAGACGAAAGCUCAAGGAGGUUACACAGCCACUGAGCUCCAGUGCAAUGGCCCAUGCCACAGUCUCACCCACCCGAGACACAUCCCAAGCUGCAUGUGUGUGUGUGUGUGUGUGUGUGUGUGUGUGUGUGCGCGCGUGAGCGCGCGUGCUGCAGGUGUCUGUGCUCACCAUGGUGGUCGUGCAUCCCAGAAGCAACGGCAGCCCGGGCAAUAGAGAGUGCAGAGUCUGCAGCAUCCUCUGGGGAGGGUUCUUUACUCAGGAUGAUGAGAUGUGCCUGUCACCAGAGAGAAGAGACAAGUUGUUUACGGGCAGCAGCGACAGAAAACCUUCCUGCAGCGAUAAGCAGGAGGUCAAGGAACUUUGCAGCAAGCUGGGAGGGAUGAUUGAUGAAGAAGUGCAAUUUCUUGUGGGAAUUUGAGAAGUGCUGGGUGGAAGCCAGGGCCCUAGAUGCUGCAUCCACUGGGCUAGAGACUGUUGCUGGAGCCUAUCCUUAAAAUAAAUCCUUUAAAAGCUUAUGGUCAUUUGAGUCAGCAAAGACUACGGAGAUGGCAGUUGGGAUCGGGGAGGGGAGGUUUUAAGAAGUGAAAAGUAUCACAGAGGUGCCAAGGAAGCUGGCAAGUCCAGCUCCUGGCCACUGCUCAGACCAGAACAUGGAUCUUGGCUGCAGAGAGGCUUUGCUGUCUGAUCACCCAGCCCACUAGCCUGCAGCCUGUGAACCCUGGCUGACGGAGGAGCUGCUGUAGCACCAAGAGCUGCUCAGUUUCCUUGUAAUAAAGUUCAUUUAAAAGCUGCUUAAUAAAAAUGGCCUUCUAUAAACGAAAAAAUAAAAAUUCUUUCAAAUGAAA
This is a non-coding RNA of Rattus norvegicus (Norway rat), 16390 nucleotides long. Lineage: Eukaryota; Metazoa; Chordata; Mammalia; Rodentia; Muridae. The record is from RefSeq and is a predicted model, not a curated record.